GGCAGAACCAAUAUGCUCAAUUAAUUUAUGACAAAGAAGCCAAGAAUAUACAAUGGAGAAAGUUAGUCUCUUCAAUAA
Long non-coding RNA from Myotis brandtii (Brandt's bat), 78 nucleotides. RefSeq lists it as uncharacterized. The transcript is spliced from 3 exons. The record is from RefSeq and is a predicted model, not a curated record. Lineage: Eukaryota; Metazoa; Chordata; Mammalia; Chiroptera; Vespertilionidae.